GGCAAGGUAGCUCAGCUGGUGAGAGCGCACGGCUCAUACCCGUGAGGUCGAGAGUUCGAAUCUCUCCCUUGCUA
This is a non-coding RNA of Clostridium sp. CAG:768, 74 nucleotides long. Lineage: Bacteria; Bacillati; Bacillota; Clostridia; Eubacteriales; Clostridiaceae. The record is from Rfam.